AAGAUAGCCCAAGAAAGAGGGCAAUAACCAGAUAUAGCCUGGUGGUUCAGGC
Molecule: unclassified non-coding RNA, 52 nt
Filed under: Lachnospiraceae bacterium
Lineage: Bacteria; Bacillati; Bacillota; Clostridia; Lachnospirales; Lachnospiraceae
Description: mature crRNA from Lachnospiraceae bacterium (PDB 5W1I, chain D)
Source: RNAcentral